GGUGGCUCAGUGGUAGAGCACUUGCCUUGCAUGCAUGAGGCCCUGAGUUUGAAUCCUCAGCACCA
RNAcentral lists this transfer RNA (65 nucleotides) under Dipodomys ordii (Ord's kangaroo rat). It matches the Rfam family "tRNA". Rfam says of the family: Transfer RNA (tRNA) molecules are approximately 80 nucleotides in length. Their secondary structure includes four short double-helical elements and three loops (D, anti-codon, and T loops). The record is from Rfam by way of RNAcentral. Lineage: Eukaryota; Metazoa; Chordata; Mammalia; Rodentia; Heteromyidae.